UGGGGAAUAUUGCACAAUGGGCGCAAGCCUGAUGCAGCCAUGCCGCGUGUAUGAAGAAGGCCUUCGGGUUGUAAAGUACUUUCAGCGGGGAGGAAGGCGAUGCGGUUAAUAACCGCGUCGAUUGACGUUACCCGCAGAAGAAGCACCGGCUAACUCCGUGCCAGCAGCCGCGGUAAUACGGAGGGUGCAAGCGUUAAUCGGAAUUACUGGGCGUAAAGCGCACGCAGGCGGUCUGUUAAGUCAGAUGUGAAAUCCCCGGGCUUAACCUGGGAACUGCAUUUGAAACUGGCAGGCUUGAGUCUUGUAGAGGGGGGUAGAAUUCCAGGUGUAGCGGUGAAAUGCGUAGAGAUCUGGAGGAAUACCGGUGGCGAAGGCGGCCCCCUGGACAAAGACUGACGCUCAGGUGCGAAAGCGUGGGGAGCAAACAG
This 428-nucleotide ribosomal RNA is filed under the name uncultured bacterium. Its description in RNAcentral is "bacterial SSU rRNA". It matches the Rfam family "Bacterial small subunit ribosomal RNA", at positions 355 to 775 of the family's 1533-position model. The record is from RNAcentral.